This 428-nucleotide ribosomal RNA is filed under the name uncultured Bacillota bacterium. Its description in RNAcentral is "bacterial SSU rRNA". It matches the Rfam family "Bacterial small subunit ribosomal RNA", at positions 958 to 1385 of the family's 1533-position model. The record is from RNAcentral. Lineage: Bacteria; Bacillati; Bacillota.
AACGCGAAGAACCUUACCAGGUCUUGACAUCCUUUUGCCCUCCCUAGAGAUAGGGACUUCCCUUCGGGGACAAAAGUGACAGGUGGUGCAUGGUUGUCGUCAGCUCGUGUCGUGAGAUGUUGGGUUAAGUCCCGCAACGAGCGCAACCCUUGAUCUUAGUUGCCAGCAUUUAGUUGGGCACUCUAAGGUGACUGCCGGUGACAAACCGGAGGAAGGUGGGGAUGACGUCAAAUCAUCAUGCCCCUUAUGACCUGGGCUACACACGUGCUACAAUGGAUGGUACAAAGAGCUGCGAACCCGCGAGGGUAAGCGAAUCUCAUAAAGCCAUUCUCAGUUCGGAUUGUAGGCUGCAACUCGCCUACAUGAAGCCGGAAUCGCUAGUAAUCGCGGAUCAGCAUGCCGCGGUGAAUACGUUCCCGGGCCUUGUA